AACGAACGCUGGCGGCAUGCCUAACACAUGCAAGUCGAACGAGACCUUCGGGUCUAGUGGCGCACGGGUGCGUGACGCGUGGGAACCUGCCCUUAGGUUCGGAAUAACUCCCCGAAAGGGGUGCUAAUACCGGAUAAUGUCUUCGGACCAAAGAUUUAUCGCCUUUGGAUGGGCCCGCGUUGGAUUAGCUAGUUGGUAGGGUAAAAGCCUACCAAGGCGACGAUCCAUAGCUGGUCUGAGAGGAUGAUCAGCCACACUGGGACUGAGACACGGCCCAGACUCCGACGGGAGGCAGCAGUGGGGAAUAUUGGACAAGGGGCGAAAGUCUGAUCCAGCAAUGCCGCGUGAGUGAGGAAGGCCUUAGGGUUGUAAAGCUCUUUUACCCGGGAUGAUAAUGACAGUACCGGGAGAAUAAGCUCCGGCUAACUCCGUG
This 433-nucleotide ribosomal RNA is filed under the name uncultured bacterium. RNAcentral describes it as "partial 16S ribosomal RNA". It matches the Rfam family "Bacterial small subunit ribosomal RNA", at positions 29 to 507 of the family's 1533-position model. The record is from RNAcentral.